RNAcentral lists this long non-coding RNA (2685 nucleotides) under Marmota monax (woodchuck). The record is from RNAcentral. Lineage: Eukaryota; Metazoa; Chordata; Mammalia; Rodentia; Sciuridae.
CCCGCGCGCAGCCGCAGACGGCGGCGCGCCCGGGCCCCUGCCAGUCCCGGCUGGGUGGCCCUGCUGGGACCCCCUGUCAUCCCGGCUGCUGUCGGUUUUCUUCUAGGGACACAAUUUGUGUGUCUUUGCUUCUGUGUUCGCUUCCUUUUUAAUCUUUCCCGUCUUUCACCUUAAUUCUAAGUGAUCUCCCGCACUGUGUCGGCUAGACAGUUCCGAGAGAGGAUGCUCGCCUGCCUGCACCGAGAAGAGGUGCGGACGGGCUCCGCGAUGCUGCGACAGGGCGCUUCCUGGACGCUCACUACCAUCUGGAAGGCUUUCUGGUUAAAAAGAAGUUUAAGGAGAUAGAGACAGAAAAUGAGCAGGAAUCCCAAACAGGUAACCGUAUUCUAGAAAGAAAGAACAUAUCUAUGCAAAAGCCCAGAGGCCAGAAAGAACGAAUCUUCCUGAAAAAGAAAACUUGAGCUUAGAGGUACAAAAUGGCAUUAAGAGCCCCUGGGGUGGGCAGGACAAACAAGUCUUUAUAAACCAGGUAAUGGGGUUGGCCUUUUUGCUGAGGCCUGAGGGCAGCCGAAAGCCGCUGAGGGAUUUAAACCUGGGCGGGGCUGGAUCACAAAGCUGGGGCCUCAGAUCCAGGCUUUGUAGUGAUGGGGGGUAAAGUGGCCUCCUGGACUAUUGGGAGGGACUGUGUAAUAGAGAAGUGGACUCAGACUCUGGAGGGAACAGAGGAGCCCUGAAAGAGCCCUCUGGGACUGCCCUUCAGUGGGGAAGAAGAGGAGGAAGUGCAGUUGGAGAUGAAACCAUACAAGUUUGGGUGCCUAUUGGGACAUCCAGGUGGAAAGGACUUGGUACCACCUGGGAGGAAAUGCUGUCUAUUUGUGUGUCUUGCUAGAGGGCAUUUGGAGAGGGGUCUGCCAAGAGUUCCCUUAACCAUUUCAAAGGGUCACUGGAUAGUGCCUUCCAGAGGCAAGCAAGCCUAGCAUCCCAGAGGCCAUAGGGUAGCAUCUGGCACAGGGAGGAGGCCAAGAUUGAUCUCAUAGCCAGAAAACGAUGACAGGGCUUGAUACAGAAAUUCUCUGAACAGGCCUAGGAACCCUGGGUGUUCCAGGCUGCACCAGGCUGCACUACCCUGUACUACAGCCUCAUGUGUGUAGUCAGAAUUCAUUAAAAUUAAACUUUUGGUUCUUCAGUCACGUUAGCCACAUUUUAAGUGCUCAGUAGCCAUGUGUGACGUGAUAUCUAUCACAAAGGACAGCAAAAAUAUAAAACACUUCUAUCACCAGAAAAUUCUGUGCUCAAAAGGAUAGUGACCACUCAAGUCCUGAGUCCUGGGUACACACAGGACAUGACUAGUGCUGCUUGUCUUCCCCUGUUCCCCACAGAGCCAGUGGGACAGCCUCAUUCUGGGGAUGACGACCCAGACGUGGAAGGCUCAGAUCUCUCUCCCAGGGUGUACUAGAGAGGCAGGAUUUGAACCCAGAACAAGUGAUUUCCAGACCCACAGAGCUGCAUGGUAGCUCCCUCAGGAAGCUGAAGCCUACAGGAUCUCAUAGGUAGAAAGUGGAGAGGGGGUACAGUAUGGGCUGAGUCUUAUACUUCUAUAAUUUAUGUGGGAAAGUCCUAACUCCCAGACCCUCAGAAUGUGACUUCCAAUUCCAAAAAUUAAAAAAAAGGAAAGGAAAUUUUGACACAGAUGAGGACAACCAUGCAAAAACACGGGGAGAGGCCUCCAAGGAAGAGGCCCGAGGCCCUAGACUGCGCAGCCUCACAGCUUCCAGAUUCCUGCUGCUGAAGCCACAUUGGCUGUGAUAUUAAGGUAGCCUUGGAUCUAAUUCGGCCUCCCCACAGAUUGGGUCUUUUGUGUUAGCUGACUACAAUAUCGUGAGAGGGUUGGGGCUCAAGGAUGGAGCUCUCUCCCAGCCCUGGUUUCCAUCCCCAGCACCAUAAAGUAGAUAUAGAUUAAGUGCAACAUGUACACAGAAAGAGUUAACUCUUGCCAGGGGAGCAUCAGACCUGAGCAGGGUUGCACCUUGGAUAAAGGGUGAGGGACAGGCGAAGGCAGCAAGGUCCCCUGCAUCUUCUGCCAGGCUGUGUAACUAGGAUGUCAUCCCAUGGGCACCAGAGCCAGGAGCCACCAAAGGACUUUGGAAAACAGAUGUCUGGGCAGAGAAUGAUGCAAAGGAGAAAAGACUAGAAACAGGAAGGGCAUUUAAAAGGUCAGUGAUGAGUGGCCAGGACCAAGGUGGUGGUCAUGGAGAUUGAACUGACAGGAGAGACACAGCAGAAGAAGAGGAGGGACCAACUGAUCCAGUUAAAAGGGGGAGCAGGAGGAAUUGGGGUGCCUCCCCUGUGGGGCUUUCUGGGGGAUAUAAUGUCACUAGAAGAGAGUAGCCUAGGAUGAGGAAGAAUAAGCUCGGGACAUCUGGGUUCCACAAUUCUCCGAUUUUAGAGGCAAAAGCCAUGGGCAUGAGUGUGAGUGUGAGUGACCAGGGAGGGAGGAAGUUAUCUGCAACUAAGAAGUGUUGGAGAUUGGCACAGCUGAGAGGAGAUCAAGAAGAUGUAACAACUAAACAUCACGCAGGGUCCUAGACCGGAUCCUGAAACAGGAAAAGGAAAUUAGGUAAAAACUUAAGAAAUCUAAACAAAGUAUGGGCUUUAGUUUAAUAGUGUAUCAAUGUUGAAUCAUUC